CAACAAAGAGGCUUCCUCUUGUUAAUCAUCAUUUUUCAGCUGCUCUUUUGGAGUAAGCUGUCAGCGAGCAUAUCAGAGGAUCUGGAUUUCUACAUGAAAAAGGCAACACUUUCAGGCUAAAGAGGCUGUGUGAGUGCAUAUCUUACCACUCCUGAGUUUUAGAGAAGCUCCUGGGAACUAGGAACUACGGACCAGAGGGCAUGCCUUCUUUAUAGGGCUUUGCAAGUACCCAAAGUGCAGGAGGCUGUGGGAACUGAUGUAUAUCUUGAGUUGAAG
Molecule: long non-coding RNA, 276 nt
Organism: Cygnus olor (mute swan)
Lineage: Eukaryota; Metazoa; Chordata; Aves; Anseriformes; Anatidae
Exons: 3
Source: RefSeq, a predicted model, not a curated record